This is a long non-coding RNA of Priapulus caudatus, 134 nucleotides long. RefSeq lists it as uncharacterized. Lineage: Eukaryota; Metazoa; Priapulida; Priapulimorpha; Priapulimorphida; Priapulidae. The transcript is spliced from 3 exons. The record is from RefSeq and is a predicted model, not a curated record.
UUUUACGUCCACCCGUUGCAAAUCUAUAAAAACUGCAAUAAUGACUCUCAGAAUGAUGGUUACGAUCGGGUACAAAGCACGACACCAUUUUCACCGAGCCAAUGAUUAAAUUGAUUACGUCACGAAUUUUCUAU